GGNNNNCUAUACAUGCAAGUCGAACGAGCUCUCCCAAAUUGAUUUUAUGCUUGCAUAAAUGAUUUUUGGAUUCGGAGCGAGUGGCGAACUGGUGAGUAACACGUGGGUAACCUGCCCCAAAGCGGGGGAUAACAUUUGGAAACAAGUGCUAAUACCGCAUAAUUAGUUGGAACCGCAUGGUUCCAACUUGAAAGAUGGCUCUGCUAUCACUUUGGGAUGGACCCGCGCCGUAUUAGUUAGUUGGUGAGAUAAAAGCCCACCAAGACGAUGAUACGUAGCCGACCUGAGAGGGUAAUCGGCCACAUUGGGACUGAGACACGGCCCAGACUCCUACGGGAGGCAGCAGUAGGGAAUCUUCCACAAUGGACGAAAGUCUGAUGGAGCAACGCCGCGUGAGUGAUGAAGGUUUUCGGAUCGUAAAACUCUGUUGUUAAAGAAGAACAAGUGUUAGAGUAACUGUUAACACUUUGACGGUAUUUAACCAGAAAGCCACGGCUAACUACGUGCCAGCAGCCGCGGUAAUACGUAGGUGGCAAGCGUUGUCCGGAUUUAUUGGGCGUAAAGCGAGCGCAGGCGGUUUUGUAAGUCUGCUGUGAAAGCCCUCAGCUUAACUGAGGAAGUGCAGUGGAAACUACAAAACUUGAGUACAGAAGAGGAAAGUGGAACUCCAUGUGUAGCGGUGAAAUGCGUAGAUAUAUGGAAGAACACCAGUGGCGAAGGCGGCUUUCUGGUCUGUUACUGACGCUGAGGCUCGAAAGCAUGGGUAGCGAACAGGAUUAGAUACCCUGGUAGUCCAUGCCGUAAACGAUGAAUACUAGGUGUUGGAGGGUUUCCGCCCUUCAGUGCCGCAGCUAACGCAUUAAGUAUUCCGCCUGGGGAGUACGACCGCAAGGUUGAAACUCAAAGGAAUUGACGGGGGCCCGCACAAGUGGUGGAGCAUGUGGUUUAAUUCGAAGCUACGCGAAGAACCUUACCAGCUCUUGACAUCUUCUGCCAACCCAAGAGAUUGGGCGUUCCCUUCGGGGACAGAAUGACAGGUGGUGCAUGGNUUGCUCNUCAGCUUCGUGUCGNGAGAUUNCUUGGGGNNAAGUNCCCGCAAUCGNAGNCGCCAACNCGCNNUAUNUANNUNUAGNNU
RNAcentral lists this ribosomal RNA (1135 nucleotides) under Apilactobacillus kunkeei. Its description in RNAcentral is "bacterial SSU rRNA". It matches the Rfam family "Bacterial small subunit ribosomal RNA", at positions 43 to 1131 of the family's 1533-position model. Lineage: Bacteria; Bacillati; Bacillota; Bacilli; Lactobacillales; Lactobacillaceae. The record is from RNAcentral.